This 249-nucleotide ribosomal RNA is filed under the name uncultured bacterium. RNAcentral describes it as "partial 16S ribosomal RNA". It matches the Rfam family "Bacterial small subunit ribosomal RNA", at positions 796 to 1041 of the family's 1533-position model. The record is from RNAcentral. RNAcentral also lists the same sequence under 1 other name.
CACGCUGUAAACGAUGAGAGCUAGUUGUCGGCACGCAUGCGUGUCGGUGACGCAGCUAACGCAUUAAGCUCUCCGCCUGGGGAGUACGGCCGCAAGGUUAAAACUCAAAGAAAUUGACGGGGGCCCGCACAAGCGGUGGAGCAUGUGGUUUAAUUCGAAGCAACGCGAAGAACCUUACCCACGUUUGACAUGUCUAGUUUGAUCGUCAGAGAUGACUUUCUUCAGUUCGGCUGGCUAGAACACAGGUGC